AUUGAACGCUGGCGGCAGGCCUAACACAUGCAAGUCGAACGAGUGGCGGACGGGUGAGUAAUGUCUGGGAAACUGCCCGAUGGAGGGGGAUAACUACUGGAAACGGUAGCUAAUACCGCAUACUAUCGGAUGAACCCAUAUGGGAUUAGCUUGUAGGUGGGGUAAAGGCUCACCUAGGCGACGAUCUCUAGCUGGUCUGAGAGGAUGAUCAGCCACACUGCGAAUGAGACACGGACCAGACUCCUACGGGAGGCAUCAGUGGGGAAUAUUGCACCAUGGGCGCAAGCCUGAUGCAGCCAUGCCGCGUGUAUGAAGAAGGCCUUAGGGUUGUAAAGUACUUUCAGCGGGGAGGCGUUACCCGCAGAAGAAGCACCGGCUAACUCCGUGCCAGCAGCCGCGGUACUAC
This 406-nucleotide ribosomal RNA is filed under the name uncultured bacterium. RNAcentral's name for it is "partial 16S ribosomal RNA". It matches the Rfam family "Bacterial small subunit ribosomal RNA", at positions 30 to 526 of the family's 1533-position model. The record is from RNAcentral.